GCGCCAAUGGUCAAGUGGUUAGGAUAUCGGAAUUUGCUUCCAAAGGCCGGUUUGAUCUCCGGUUGGUGCA
Hamiltosporidium tvaerminnensis is the source of this 70-nucleotide non-coding RNA. The record is from the annotation of a GenBank genome assembly. NCBI's taxonomy places the organism in Eukaryota, Fungi, Microsporidia, Dubosqiidae.